RNAcentral lists this ribosomal RNA (309 nucleotides) under uncultured cyanobacterium. RNAcentral's name for it is "bacterial SSU rRNA". It matches the Rfam family "Bacterial small subunit ribosomal RNA", at positions 28 to 365 of the family's 1533-position model. The record is from RNAcentral. Lineage: Bacteria; Bacillati; Cyanobacteriota.
GAUGAACGCUGGCGGUCUGCUUAACACAUGCAAGUCGAACGAACUCUUCGGAGUGAGUGGCGGACGGGUGAGUAACACGUAAGAAUUUGCCUUUAGGAGGGGGACAACAACUGGAAACGGUUGCUAAUACCCCAUAUGCUUUUAGUGAAAUGGUAUUUCCGCCUAAAGAGAAGCUUGCGGCUGAUUAGCUUGUUGGUAGGGUAAUGGCCUACCAAGGCGACGAUCAGUAUCUGGUUUGAGAGGACGAUCAGACACACUGGAACUGAGACACGGUCCAGACUCCUACGGGAGGCAGCAGUAGGGAAUUUU